GGAAUAUUGCACAAUGGGCGAAAGCCUGAUGCAGCGACGCCGCGUGAGUGAAGAAGUAUUUCGGUAUGUAAAGCUCUAUCAGCAGGGAAGAAAAUGACGGUACCUGACUAAGAAGCCCCGGCUAACUACGUGCCAGCAGCCGCGGUAAUACGUAGGGGGCAAGCGUUAUCCGGAUUUACUGGGUGUAAAGGGAGCGUAGACGGCGAAGCCAGUCUGAAGGGAAAACCCAGGGCUCCACCCUGGGACUGCUUUGGAAACUGUUUUGCUAGAGUGUCGGAGAAGUAAGUGGAAUUCCUAGUGUAGCGGUGAAAUGCGUAGAUAUUAGGAGGGACACCAGUGGCGAAGGCGGCUUUCUGGACGAUAACUGACGUUGGGGCUCGAAAGCGUGGGGAGCAAACA
This 399-nucleotide ribosomal RNA is filed under the name uncultured bacterium. RNAcentral describes it as "bacterial SSU rRNA". It matches the Rfam family "Bacterial small subunit ribosomal RNA", at positions 358 to 774 of the family's 1533-position model. The record is from RNAcentral.